UACGUAGGGUGCAAGCGUUAAUCGGAAUUACUGGGCGUAAAGCGUGCGCAGGCGGUUGUGCAAGACAGAUGUGAAAUCCCCGGGCUUAACCUGGGAAUUGCAUUUGUGACUGUACGGCUAGAGUGUGUCAGAGGGGGGUAGAAUUCCACGUGUAGCAGUGAAAUGCGUAGAGAUGUGGAGGAACACCGAUGGCGAAGGCAGCCUCCUGGGCUAGUACUGACGCUCAUGCACGAAAGCGUGGGGAGCAAACAGG
RNAcentral lists this ribosomal RNA (253 nucleotides) under uncultured bacterium. Its description in RNAcentral is "partial 16S ribosomal RNA". It matches the Rfam family "Bacterial small subunit ribosomal RNA", at positions 524 to 776 of the family's 1533-position model. The record is from RNAcentral.